UGAGGAAUAUUGGUCAAUGGGCGCGAGCCUGAACCAGCCAUUCCGCGUGCAGGAGGAAGGCCUUAUGGGUUGUAACCUUCUUUUCUGCAAGAAGAAAAGUCCCGACGUGUCGGGAUGUGCCGGUAUUAUAGGCAUAAGCAUCGGCUAACUCCGUGCCAGCAGCCGCGGUCAUACGGAGGAUGCAAGCGUCAUCUGGAUUUCGUGGGUUUAAAGGGUGCGCAGGUUGUUUUAUAAGUCCGUGGUGAAAGUCUGUCGCUUAACGAUAGGAUUGCCAUUGAUACUGUAGGACUUGAGUCUGGAUGAGGUAGGCGGAAUGUGUAGUGUAGCGGUGAAAUGCAUAGAUAUUACACAGAACGCCGAUUGCGAAGGCAGCUUACUAAUCCAUGACUGACGCGGAGGCACGAAAGCGUGGGGAUCAAACA
RNAcentral lists this ribosomal RNA (422 nucleotides) under uncultured prokaryote. RNAcentral's name for it is "bacterial SSU rRNA". It matches the Rfam family "Bacterial small subunit ribosomal RNA", at positions 355 to 774 of the family's 1533-position model. The record is from RNAcentral.